UUUGCCGGUGAGUCGCGUGCCGUCCCACGAGUCGUGCUGCCUCCCAGAGUCCCGGUUCACCCCUCCCACGCGCCGCACCCAAUCCCCUCCUCCCGCACGCCUCGCACCUAAUCGCCUCCAUGAACCCUAGCCCCCAAUGGAUGGGACGCCACACCCUCACUCCUCCCCAGCAGCCUCCAAACCCCCCGCCUCCACCGGAUCCAAGGCGUGCGGCCACGGAGGCGAGCCUCUCCGGCGACGGUGGCAACCUGCAGGCAGAGAAGAUGGGAGAGAGGGAGAGAAGGAAUGAGAGGAGGGAGGUCCGACGGCGGACAGGAGAGGGUCAGCGGCCUGUGCCGGCGAGGUCAGGUGUGACCUGGCAGACCUGGCAAUUGAUGGCGGCCACUCCUGGAUCCUUCUUCCACUUCCCCACUGCCUACCACCAAGCACGGGUCAGGGAGCAUGGGAUUGACGACGGCGGUCGAAAGCCAGGAUGGUUGGCUGAGGAAGAGGGUGAGGACUUGAGGAUUGAAGAGGGUUGCUAUGGAGACUGUUCUUUGCAAGGGUAAAGCAUCAUCAGCACUGGUGGUGGUUGGAUCAUUAGAUGAUUCCCAGUAACUAGGUAUGUCUUCUUAACCAGGUGGACAUUUCCCCAGAUUGGCUCCUCCACAUGUUUCAGACUGACAAAUCAUGACAAUCCUCUUCUUAAAGUACAAAAUGAUGUAGCUAUCUCCACAUGCUUUGAUGAUAUCUUUUUCGUAUGGUUGGAUGGUUCCUUAUCACCGUGAUUCAUAUAAAACUUUGUGAAUUGUAGUGUCAUGAUGAUUUCAUAAGACACAAGGCUUUAAUGUAUAUUUGGAAAGCACAUAAAUGUGAAGAAUCAAUGGUGAAAAUAAGUAAAACACUCUCUAUAUGUUUCCAUUGACAUGAUCAGUGGCUCCAUUUUCUUUGGUAAGUAAUGCUAGGCUACAGGUUAAUAUAUUUUACCAUGCCCAGCUGUUUUUCUCAGUUUCUCCUCUAAAACAUAGACAUCAUUUUCAUUCGGAUUUCAUCCUUAUUAGUUUUAUUUUAUAUGCAUUGAAUAUAACUAUGCAACUAUAGGUACAAGCAUUGCCAUGACAUACAUCCCAUUUUGAGUUUUAUUCAGUCCUCUGUCAUUGUUAUUGCGAUCUUAUUUUGCCGUUGUAAAAAUGGGGUAUAUGUCAUGGUUGUUUAACAGAAGGGAGGUGCAUAAGAACAGAUUUGGUGUUCAUCCGCAAUGUGAGUGCUUUCUGCAACUCCAUUUUGUCGAUAUUUUCUGCGAGACAUGAACACCAAAUCUAUUUAUCUAACAUGUUUUGCAUGUUUUGUCGAGUGCUUUCCUGUGUUUUUAUCUAUGGUCUUUUUUAUCAUAUCUAAUAUCCAGCAUUAUACCAUGUCUCACAGAAUUGCUGAUUCUGCACAUACACCUACUUAUUUUACUUCUGUGACAUGCGGUACAAUUUUUCUCUGGGUUGCAGGAUAGGCGAGGCGAUGAUCCAAAAAAUUGGAAAGAAUGGUGCUCCCAUGUUCUCUCUUAUCCAGGAAAAUCAAUACAGCAAAAUGUGUGUUUAAUAAACCUUGCAUUGCUGCAAAAAUUAAUAUUAUGUUUGUGAAUCUAAUGCCAUUGUGGAUAUCAUGAAGAAGAGGGACAUGUUUGUUGCAUUUGAAGGUGUACUUAUGAGUGCAAGGGAGCCUCGAGGAUUUGGGUUUGUCCAGUACUUCAAUCCUGAUGAUGCUGCAGAUGGAAAAUACUACAUGGACGGACAGGUUAUUUGUGGCAAACAAGUAACAGUUUUAUUUGCAUAACAGAACAAAAAGAAGCCUGCUAAGGGGUGUCCCGCGGCAGAUGCGCGCCCAAUGACGCUGUGGAGCUGUCAACUCCCACCCAGAUCGCCACAGAGAACAGUGAAGCAUCCUCCCUUCUCCCUUCCGGUUGCAUCUCCGCCGGGCUUGUCUUAGUGACACAGGCAUGCUGAAGCAAAGAUCCUUUUCCUUCUUUGCAUCCCUCAUUCUCUGUUUUUUCUCACAAUGAAGCACCUUGCUUCUCCACGGCAUUCAACCCAUGAUGGUGUGACUACAGAACACAGACUGAGGACAUAUUUCUGUCUCUUCGCCUUCUUGAUUACAUAACUGGGAUACUCAUUCCUAAUAAGACUAGCAAGCUCUAUGGAAUCUGCUGAUUUCCGAAGGCCUCUUUUCAGUGGCUUCGUUGAUGUGGAUUACAACAUCUUUACCUGAUAAACAUGGAAUAUACAAGAGGAAGGAGCAACUGCAGCAAGCAGUGAUGCUUCAGGCGCUGAUGUGAGGAUUACUGCAUUUGAGAGCAGAGGAAGACAAGCGUAAAACUAUCAUGUUCGCUUCCGCCAUUCAUGCCGAGCGGGAUGCGUGGCAGAGGGGAUUUCUUUUCCGCGAAAACCGGAAGAGAGGAUAUUGAAGCCACCUUUGCCAACAUAGAUGAAGAUGGGAGGAUUGGCCAACUUUGGACUCCAACGGCAGCGAUGAUGAUGAAGACUUGAGCUAUGACUAUGAGUCCGAGUAGUAGAAGAAUCAUUUAUGUUUUUGUGCUUUGUCGACAGGGAUUAGAUUUGUUACAAAUAGAACUCUAUGCUACCAAAUUUUAAUGUGCAUAUACUUUUCAUUGUAGACAGCAAGCCCCUGUUUUUCCAGGAGAUUAAAUUUGUUGUCAUAUGUGCUUGCCUGUAACUAAGCAACUAAACCAUGGAUUACUUUUCAUCGCUAACAUGGAAUCAGCA
Long non-coding RNA from Triticum aestivum (bread wheat), 2753 nucleotides. RefSeq lists it as uncharacterized. The transcript is spliced from 7 exons. The record is from RefSeq and is a predicted model, not a curated record. NCBI's taxonomy places the organism in Eukaryota, Viridiplantae, Streptophyta, Magnoliopsida, Poales, Poaceae.